RNAcentral lists this long non-coding RNA (431 nucleotides) under Manihot esculenta (cassava). Its description in RNAcentral is "long non-coding RNA (MESC_LNC012847)". The record is from RNAcentral. Lineage: Eukaryota; Viridiplantae; Streptophyta; Magnoliopsida; Malpighiales; Euphorbiaceae.
GAAUCCAAAGAUCUGAUAAACCCACCUCCUAUGGCACCCCAAACUUAGAGAAGCUGAAACACCAAUGAUCGAAGGAUUUAGAUGAGAAUCUGACAAACGCCACAACAAAUAGUUGAUAAGUUAAUCGAGAUUCCUGGUGCAAUUGAUGAAAGCAAAUCCUCACUCUCACUCAAAGCAAUACACGCCAAAGGCAUGAAAAUAAUUCUGAUAAUUUGAUUCAAAGCUGUCUCUUACAAUUGUUUCUUAUCCUUAUAUAGUAAGGAGAAAAACAAUUAAAACCCUAAGACACUCUUCUUGGGCCUGACUUAAACACAUAAGGCCCAAGCCCAAUCACAUACUAAAAUAACACAUAAGUAUUAAAACAUAAGCCCAAAAACAUGGCCCAACACUCUAAAACUUAAAAGGUAAAAUAUGGCCAGAAUACAAGCCCA